GUAGGAGGGGGCUUGCCCCCGAUGGCGGUGUGUCAGUCAGUAGAUGUGUGGGCUGUCACACCGCUAUCGGGGGCAAGCCCCCUCCCAC
Molecule: non-coding RNA, 88 nt
Filed under: Pseudomonas sp. GV105
Lineage: Bacteria; Pseudomonadati; Pseudomonadota; Gammaproteobacteria; Pseudomonadales; Pseudomonadaceae
Source: RNAcentral